UUCCUCUCAAAAAAGGGAGGUAAGGCCUGCUCACUGAGUUUUGAAGAGCCGCAGUAUCCUGACUGUGCUAAGGUAGCAUAAUCAUUAGUCUUUUAAUUGGAGACUGGUAUGAAUGGCUAAACGAGAAAUCGACUUUUUUUGUUAUAAAAAUUGAAUUUAAUUUUUUAGUGAAAAAGCUAAAAUUUUUCAGAAAGACGAGAAGACCCUAUAGAGUUUUAUAUUUCUGUGAAUUUUUUUUUAAUGGAUUUUUUUGAAAAAAAUUUUUUGGAAAUAUUUUGUUGGGGCGACAUUUAGAUAAGUGAAACUCUUUAUUUUAAAAACUUUAUUGUAAGAAUAAAUUUGAUCCUUUAUAAGAGAUCAUAAGAAAAAAUUACCUUAGGGAUAACAGCGUAAUCUUUUUUGAGAGUUCUAAUCGACAAAAAGGUUUGCGACCUCGAUGUUGGACUAAAAUUUAGGCAGGGUGCAGUAGUUCUGUUUUUGGGUCUGUUCGACCCGUAAUAUUUUACACGAUCUGAGUUCAGACCGGCGUAAG
Molecule: ribosomal RNA, 532 nt
Filed under: Tetraclita squamosa squamosa
Lineage: Eukaryota; Metazoa; Arthropoda; Thecostraca; Balanomorpha; Tetraclitidae
Description: partial 16S ribosomal RNA
Rfam family: Bacterial large subunit ribosomal RNA
Source: RNAcentral